AAAUUGAAGAGUUUGAUCAUGGCUCAGAUUGAACGCUGGCGGCAGGCCUAACACAUGCAAGUCGAACGGUAACAGGAAACAGCUUGCUGUUUCGCUGACGAGUGGCGGACGGGUGAGUAAUGUCUGGGAAACUGCCUGAUGGAGGGGGAUAACUACUGGAAACGGUAGCUAAUACCGCAUAAUGUCGCAAGACCAAAGAGGGGGACCUUCGGGCCUCUUGCCAUCGGAUGUGCCCAGAUGGGAUUAGCUGGUAGGUGGGGUAACGGCUCACCUAGGCGACGAUCCCUAGCUGGUCUGAGAGGAUGACCAGCCACACUGGAACUGAGACACGGUCCAGACUCCUACGGGAGGCAGCAGUGGGGAAUAUUGCACAAUGGGCGCAAGCCUGAUGCAGCCAUGCCGCGUGUAUGAAGAAGGCCUUCGGGUUGUAAAGUACUUUCAGCGGGGAGGAAGGGAGUAAAGUUAAUACCUUUGCUCAUUGACGUUACCCGCAGAAGAAGCACCGGCUAACUCCGUGCCAGCAGCCGCGGUAAUACGGAGGGUGCAAGCGUUAAUCGGAAUUACUGGGCGUAAAGCGCACGCAGGCGGUUUGUUAAGUCAGAUGUGAAAUCCCCGGGCUCAACCUGGGAACUGCAUCUGAUACUGGCAAGCUUGAGUCUCGUAGAGGGGGGUAGAAUUCCAGGUGUAGCGGUGAAAUGCGUAGAGAUCUGGAGGAAUACCGGUGGCGAAGGCGGCCCCCUGGACGAAGACUGACGCUCAGGUGCGAAAGCGUGGGGAGCAAACAGGAUUAGAUACCCUGGUAGUCCACGCCGUAAACGAUGUCGACUUGGAGGUUGUGCCCUUGAGGCGUGGCUUCCGGAGCUAACGCGUUAAGUCGACCGCCUGGGGAGUACGGCCGCAAGGUUAAAACUCAAAUGAAUUGACGGGGGCCCGCACAAGCGGUGGAGCAUGUGGUUUAAUUCGAUGCAACGCGAAGAACCUUACCUGGUCUUGACAUCCACGGAAGUUUUCAGAGAUGAGAAUGUGCCUUCGGGAACCGUGAGACAGGUGCUGCAUGGCUGUCGUCAGCUCGUGUUGUGAAAUGUUGGGUUAAGUCCCGCAACGAGCGCAACCCUUAUCCUUUGUUGCCAGCGGUCCGGCCGGGAACUCAAAGGAGACUGCCAGUGAUAAACUGGAGGAAGGUGGGGAUGACGUCAAGUCAUCAUGGCCCUUACGACCAGGGCUACACACGUGCUACAAUGGCGCAUACAAAGAGAAGCGACCUCGCGAGAGCAAGCGGACCUCAUAAAGUGCGUCGUAGUCCGGAUUGGAGUCUGCAACUCGACUCCAUGAAGUCGGAAUCGCUAGUAAUCGUGGAUCAGAAUGCCACGGUGAAUACGUUCCCGGGCCUUGUACACACCGCCCGUCACACCAUGGGAGUGGGUUGCAAAAGAAGUAGGUAGCUUAACCUUCGGGAGGGCGCUUACCACUUUGUGAUUCAUGACUGGGGUGAAGUCGUAACAAGGUAACCGUAGGGGAACCUGCGGUUGGAUCACCUCCUUACCUUAAAGAAGC
RNAcentral lists this ribosomal RNA (1554 nucleotides) under Escherichia coli. RNAcentral describes it as "bacterial SSU rRNA". It matches the Rfam family "Bacterial small subunit ribosomal RNA". Lineage: Bacteria; Pseudomonadati; Pseudomonadota; Gammaproteobacteria; Enterobacterales; Enterobacteriaceae. The record is from RNAcentral.